This 351-nucleotide unclassified non-coding RNA is filed under the name Cladosporium sp. Iso435. RNAcentral describes it as "sequence contains ITS1, 5.8S rRNA gene, ITS2". The stretch from base 51 to 203 matches the Rfam family "5.8S ribosomal RNA". The record is from RNAcentral. Lineage: Eukaryota; Fungi; Ascomycota; Dothideomycetes; Cladosporiales; Cladosporiaceae.
CGGGGGCUCCGGGUGGACACUUNAAACUCUUGCGUUAAUUAAUAAAUUAAAACUUUUAACAACGGAUCUCUUGGUUCUGGCAUCGAUGAAUAACGCACGAAAUGCGAUAAGUAAUGUGAAUUGCAGAAUUCAGUGAAUCAUCGAAUCUUUGAACGCACAUUGCGCCCCCUGGUAUUCCGGGGGGCAUGCCUGUUCGAGCGUCAUUUCACCACUCAAGCCUCGCUUGGUAUUGGGCAACGCGGUCCGCCGCGUGCCUCAAAUCGUCCGGCUGGGUCUUCUGUCCCCUAAGCGUUGUGGAAACUAUUCGCUAAAGGGUGUUCGGGAGGCUACAAAACAACCCCAUUUCUAAGG